GGCAGCGUAGCUCAGCUGGUUAGAGCGUCCGGCUCAUACCCGGAAGGUCCUCGGUUCAAAUCCGAGCGCUGCUA
This 74-nucleotide transfer RNA is filed under the name bacterium. RNAcentral describes it as "tRNA-Met". It matches the Rfam family "tRNA". From Rfam's summary of the family: Transfer RNA (tRNA) molecules are approximately 80 nucleotides in length. Their secondary structure includes four short double-helical elements and three loops (D, anti-codon, and T loops). Further hydrogen bonds mediate the characteristic L-shaped molecular structure. tRNAs have two regions of fundamental functional importance: the anti-codon, which is responsible for specific mRNA codon recognition, and the 3' end, to which the tRNAs corresponding amino acid is attached (by aminoacyl-tRNA synthetases). tRNAs cope with the degeneracy of the genetic code in two manners: having more than one tRNA (with a specific anti-codon) for a particular amino acid; and 'wobble' base-pairing, i.e. permitting non-standard base-pairing at the 3rd anti-codon position. The record is from RNAcentral.